RNAcentral lists this long non-coding RNA (1477 nucleotides) under Nicotiana tabacum (common tobacco). Its description in RNAcentral is "long non-coding RNA (NTAB_LNC012094)". Lineage: Eukaryota; Viridiplantae; Streptophyta; Magnoliopsida; Solanales; Solanaceae. The record is from RNAcentral.
CCCAGCAGAAUCUAAAAAAGAUAUAUGCCAUUUAAAGAUAUAUGGUUUAGCUUCCUCACACUUUCGAAAAUUCAGAUACCAUAUCUUUCACUUUGUGAUCCAAAUACAAAGUUAAAUUCACAAAGCAAAUAAAAGAUAGCAUCUUCCUUGAUAACGAAAUGUAUCUGCAUGACAAAUAAAUACAGAUCAUGAUCAGUCACUACUCCAUGUUCCGAUAUAACACAAACCUUUACAGACACUUGACAUGAACAGAUUUUUCUUGAAAACAAUGACUUUUAAGGCCUUUAUACAUUUGAAAUUUCUAAAGUUAAGCUAAAAGAUAGAUAGCAGAUCAACAUUGUCUUUGGGAUCAAAGGAAUCAAUCAACUAUGUCGUAAAUUACCAAAUAUUGUCUAGGACAUAUGCGUCAAAAAAGAAAUUCUGCAUGUUUUGGCUAGAUGAAUAUGAAUGGAUAAGCAAUAGGCAUGUGCCAACAAACAUCAUAGAUAGUAGAACAUGCAAAUUGGUCUCAUUACAGAGACUGCAGUUACUCACGUGUUUAAUUGAAAGGCAGCUCCUUAGACUUAGAGUGAGUAGCUCCAAACGCGAAUUUCUCCUUGAUACUCAUCUCAUGUUCUCAAACUUAAUGUACAGUGAUUGGACAAGGACAGCAUGGACGCGUUCUUCUUUUCAGUUCCACUGUGCCAAUGGUUCAACAAAUGGCAGCAGAGCAGAGAUCGAAUACUGGUUUAGGACAGGUCGAGAUCUAUCUAGCUGCAACAAAUAUUUUUUAUCGAAGUGUUACUCAAUAUGGAAAUAAAUUUUCAAUCAUAUUCACAUUAGAACAUGCGGAUUGGUUCCAUUACAGUGACAACAGUUGCUUACAAGUUUAAUUGAAAAGCAGCUCCGUUGAGCUUUUCCAAACACAAAGAUGACAAAGCACAAUGUCUCUUUGAAACUUAUCCCAUGUACUCCAACUUAAACAUACAACAAUGAGAAAAGGACUCGUGUAGGCAUUUUCUUUCAUUCCCACUAUCUCACUGCUAUUUCUGUAUGACUGUCUCCCUUGAUUCACAAGACUGAUGGUGGCAUUGGUCAAGUACUCUACAUAGGUGCUCCAAGGGUCCAUUUCAUUCCGAAAAGACAAUGUGUUUUGUACUCGUUAUAUACAGGAAAUGCCGGCUGAAAAUAAUAGUUACAUCUGCUGCUGACAUUCUAGCUCCCACUUACCUAUCUAAAACGACAUUCUAGCUCCCGCUUACCUAUCUAAAACAACAACAGCAAAAAAUCCGGUGUAAUCCCACAUAUUGGGGUCUGGGGAGGGUAAAGUGUACACAGACCUUACCCCUACCUUGUGAAGGUAGAGAGGUUGUUUCCAAUAGACCUCCGGCUCAAUCCACUUACCUAUCUCCAUAUGACUUAAUUCUUCUUGUUCCAUGUUCAUGCAUAUAAAGAAGCAAAUUCCAAAUUGUAGCCCAUCCGUGUAUGGGGAUGUUCC